UUUUUUUUUUUUUUUUUUUUUUGUUGACUGGAAGGUAUGCUGAUUUGAUCAGAAUCAUCUUAACUGGCCAGACUACUCCUCCUAGACUGUGAGAGCUCGUCCCAAGGAUCAUAGCACGAAGGCACCCAUGAAUCGAAUCUGAGACCUAUUCCUAAAGAGGAGACUACAAAACCGUCUGAGCUGUCCGAGGGGGCUAAUAGCCUAAUAAAUCGCUCGCCUAUGACCAUGAUUAUUUGAUCUAGGAUGGCUAGAAAAAUUGUUCCUUUUUCUUCCACUAUAUGUUUGUUUGCAGAGGAAUUUGCGAUUUUUUUUUGAAGUUAAAAAAUCGAUUUAAAUGCACUUUUACAAUAUCAAAAUUGCGUGCGUGCUCCUAUAUACACACCUACACGCACACCCCUUCUGGAAGAGUGGGUGUGCGUGCGGUUUGGCCAAGUUGCAUAUAAUAACUAAGCUAAAGACUAAAGUUGCUCGCUUCAGUUUCGCCGCAUUCAACAAUUAUGUGCUACAAAUCUCGCCUCCACUUAAGGGUCUGGGACUUGCAUGAUGAUCAUCUUCACCGUUUCAACUUUCUUGCGCUAUCUUCCGUCAGAACUUAGGAAUAUUGCGGCCGGGCGGUUUUAGCGUCAGAGCUGUAAUCUUUACAUACCCUAAUCAUUCAUGUUGAAUUUUUCAACGUUUAAACCCAAAGUAUCCAGUUAAGUAAUGAAAAGGUGAUAGCGUAUUUUGUAGACUAAUAGCUUUGUCUCCUGCUGCUGUCAAGGUUUGGUCCAAGUAAUGAAAUUUUCUUGGAAAUUUGUUGCCAUUGCUGCUUGCUUUAAACUUCAAUUCCAUUAGAGUUACAUGUUGGACCACGAGAGAUAGGCGUAGCCACUCAACUUCUGGCUUUUUAAGUUCAACAACAGCCUCUUGCCUGACAAUUGGUUUUUCGUGGUCCUUGAAGUCAUCUUCUAAACUAAAGCUUCUCAGAAAUUUAUUUAUUUAUUUGGGAUUGUGAAAAUUGGUUAUAAGGUCCAAUAUUUCCAAGAAAAUAACUUACUAAGAAACUUGUGUGGAAAAAGAGUACGGCUUACAUUAUCGUAACAUUUUUUAAAAUGUGAUGCAUGUGAGUUAAAAAAAAAAUAGUUGAAAAAUGCAUUAAAGAAUUCUAAAGGACGAAAAACUAUAUAAAAUUUCUAAAACUUGGGAUGGUUUUCACCUAGUUCCCUGCAACCAACCCCUUUUUUCUUAUUAUUAUUAUUAUUUUUGUACCAUCCCAUCACUCUAAUACUUUAACAUUCCCUUUAUGAACUUUUUGAAAAUUUUGGACGUGGGCCAAUUUUUAUUCCAGCAUUGGACCCUAGCGAACCUUCUUCACGCGUAUAUUGCUGAGGGCCCAUACCAACAGCAAUAAAAGGGGGGCAAAUUGCAGGUGGUUGACUUCAUCGCGGUGUUAAUUGAAUCAACCACUUGCUGCUCAUUUUGGCACGUUUUCUUGCGGUUUAAUUAUCCAUUCGUCUUGCUGCAAAGUUGCUUCCCCUUUCCUCGUGAAAUGCAAAAUUCAGGCAUUGACUGUCAGAAACUGAAGCUUAUCCAGUCAUCACAGUCGAUUGCAAAAUAAGCCCACAGAUAUUUUGUCCAAACCUCUGCUGCUUGGCUCGUCAUUAGGCCGAAGCUUCAUUUGUUCGUUUAUGACGACCAUAUUCGUGCAAAAUAUAUGGAUAUUGUGGAUUUGUUAAAAUUACUUUUGUAUAGAGCAAAUAACUUUCUUCGAUUUUACAAAUCUUUCAUUAGCAAAAUAACUUGUCUGUUUGCUUCAUACUUGUUUGGUUGAGAUAAAAGCUUGCCUAUAUUUUCUCAGGCACAAGUUAAUGAACAGAAUUGGUAAUUCAAACAACAUAUGUGAAAAGACUAUAGAGAAGACGUACGAAAUGCUCUCUCUCUCUCUCUCUCUCUCUCUCUCUCUCUCUUUUUCUUAUGCUGACAUUGGGGGUUUCUUUUAAUUUUAGAAACCUCUUCUAAAACUUUUUGACAAUUUCAUUGGCCUCUCUUAAAGUUUACAAAAUAACACUUACCUCCCUUAGUGGAAUUGCGAGUCUAAUUGUUUAAUUCGGAUCUAUCACAGAAUUAUCACCUAAAUUCAAGUUUGGGGUUAAAGUCUAAAUUUUUGUUGCUCAUUCAAUUUCUAGAAGGCUAAUAACAUUCCAGCCUGAUUGACACUCCACAUUAGAAUUGAAGGGCUGCUAUAUUUUUACCUUCAUAUUUGUUGCCCUAGUACCCUUUUUUUCUUCUUUGCUACGCAAGCAUUUGAGUGGGUUCGGUUCUAGUCACUAUCACGAGUUAGGUCCUGUCCCUCAAAUUGAAGUUUAAAAUUGCCUGAUUGACACUCCAUAGGACUAAAGGGCUGUUAUAUUUUUACCUUCAUAAUUAUUGUCCCAGUACUUUCAUCUUUUUUUUUUUUCUUUUUUGGUAAGUAAAAGUCGGAGUGGAUUGGGCUAUAGUUACUUCAAGGGGUAAGGAAAUACGCCUGAGGCCAUAGGUUAAUUGUAAGAUUCUUAUAAAUCAUUUAUUAAUAUAGCACUUACACCGAAAACGAGACACUUUUUAUGAGAAAGUGAUCUGAUUAUUUGGUUAGUUCCGUGGAUGCUCAGAUGGGAUCACGAGGGGAAACGGGGCAGGAGCGGUCAUAGAAUGAUCGUUCCUAAGCUGUUAAUGAUCAUGAUUUGAUUUUAAUAAAUUAUACGGUACAGAUCACAAGUUAUGCAUCGAUUUUCACAUCAUAUAUGAGACUCAUAAAAUUUUAUACUAAAAUUAUAUAUUAUGUAAAUAAAAUUACGUUGUGUGCAACUAAAGUUACGUGCCGUUCAAAAUAACCAAAAUCCCCUCGUCCAUCGUGAGGCUGUUUUUAGCCCCACUUGCAGAAAACCAAGCUAUCCCAAAUUCCAAGUCGUCGCCGUAAAUUGCAUGCCAUCAUCAUCGAAGUCAAUUCCAAAAGGGACCCAAGAAUUGAGUGAUUGAUCUUCAUUAAUUUGCAAACAUAAAAGUCCAGAAUUUUGCCAAAAUGUAAACAAACCCUUUCAACUUUUCAAGCAGUUUAUAAUUAGACUGCAGCUUAGCAAAAUAAAAAUGAUUUAUGUACUUAUCUGCUAUAAUCCAUCAUCUUAACCUAUUUAGUAUGCUUAUUAAAGCUCUGUUGGCGUUGCAUGGGCUUUUCUCCGUUAAAAUAAUAUAUUUUAACGUGCAAUGACAAAUAACUUGCAUGAACCAAUAUCUCAAACAAAUUUGUUGACCCAAUAUCAAAAAACGAAAAAAUAUGGGAGCAUCGGAUAGCUUUUUUUUUUUUUUCUCUGGUCAUUCUCAAAUUUUCACUUUUCCAUGUAUAAAAAUCUAAUAAAAAAUUAUCAAAUGUUCAAUCUUCGAUUAACAAAACUUUGCGUGAGAAUUUAGAUUGAUGUCGGAGACAAUUGGAUAACGUGUAAAUAAUUGAUGUUUGAGACAAUUGGAUAAUCUCAUUUAUUAUGUUUUAGUCAUUCUCAAAUUUUCACUUUUCCAUGUAUAAAAAUCUAAUAAAAAAUUAUCAAAUGUUCAAUUUUUGAUUAACAAAACUUUGCGCGUGCAUUUAGAUUGAUGUCUGAGACAAUUGGAUAACGUGUAAAUAAAUAAUUGCUACUCCCCUUACAGGAACCCGUGAGGAAUCUGUUUUCCAUUUUAUGGAGAUUUUUCAUGACUUUCACAUCCCAUGAAAUUUACUACCCAACUAUUCAAGUUCCAAAAGUCCUGGAUAUCAAAGUCAUGGUUGUCUUUUUAACUUUAUUGACAUUUUUUCCUCCUUAAUAACGUUUCAUUGUCUAGUAACAUAUUAUUCAGUUCGGUUCAUGCAUUUGUCUUUGUUUUGGAGCAGUUGGUGGCCGCUACUUUUGGAGGUAAUUUCAACUUCUAAGAUUCGUUGCCCGUGUAUAAACGUUUUGCAAACUACAAACAUAUUGCUAUUGACGACGAUUUCCGAAUCCCAGGAGAAAUUGACACGCAACAAAAUAAGGAACAAAACAAUUUUGGCAUAUGAUGCCAUAUGCAAGACCCAGAAAAUUUUCUUUGAGGGAAGCAAAAAAUGACAUUUGUACAAGUGGGGAAGUUCAAUACGAAACUUUUAAGCCUUUUGUGAGAGGAAUCUGUUCUGGCAGAUUUUUUAUUUUUUAUUUUUUGAGAAAAAUCUCAAUUCUAAAAUGGUGAAAAUACAAUUUUUAGAAUCUUUUUUUGUGGUUCUAGCACCACCCUCCAGGUAAUGUAUCGCCUGAAUAUAGAUAGCAUGAUGAACGAAAAGACAUCUAAUGUUAUUGAAAAUAUGGGGAAGAAGGACGACAAAGAAAGCAUCUUUUUACAUGAAUGUUAGGUUCAAAUUUUUAGGACAAGGGGCACAAACAACCGAUUGUGCCGGUUUGUGCAUUUUUCAACCGCGCGUAAUAUUUUUUACAUAUCGCGUAAUUUUCUUUACACAUGAAGUAACUUUAGAACAAUUUUUUGUGGGCUCCAUACAUGACGUGAAAAUCAAGUUAACCGUUCCCGUCCCAUUUCCAAAUUUUUAUUAUCAUGCUUCUGGUUUGAUCAAUGUUGGCAUUUGGAAGUUGGGGGGGGGGGGGGGCUAAUUCUGAUUUUAAGGGAGAAACUUGUGUAUGGGAGAAGAGACAAUUUAAAAUUUGUACCAUUUUCAAACCAUUUAAUUAAAAAAAAAUCCGAGUGCGAAUAAACUUUGAAAUUUGUGUAGAUUUACUAUUUAAUGGCUAACCUUCACAGCUGAAAUUGAUCUUGUGAUAGAUAGACUAUAUGCUAGUAGACUAGUAGUGACACUAGCUAGAAGCGUUUGUGCUUUUCUUUCUCUUCUCUAAUUUACUUUUGUAUAUAUAUAUACCAACCAUUUCCUAGUAAAAACAAUCAUUUUGGUGAUGACAAAUUGAUCCCAGUACGUGAAAUAGAAUGGCUUCAGAGGCCCAUAGCUAGUGUUAAUAUCUUUUACAUAUCUUUCUAAUUUUUUCGGAUUUUUCCCUUUUUUGACUGGUGAUAUCACAUCACCACAAUAAAAAACAUUCUUUGGUUCAAAGUGUCUGGCGAAGAAUGACUUAAUUAUACUAAGUGGGUACGGUAGAAGGUCUAUUUCAAUCUCAAGAUUAAGGCUGUGUCGGCCCGACAAAGCAAAUUGAACUUGAUGAAAAGAUUCAAAAUAUUAUUUUAAGCGAAUAUUGCUCAAUAUCAAGUUAUCUUACAUUCAAACUCAGCAAGAUUAGGAGCAAAAAAUUGUCCACACUUUAUGCACAUUGAUUUUGUCAUAUGUAUAAGAUAUAAUUUCAGUGGGACAAAUAAGUCAACUUAACACAAUCAAAUGAAAAUUGUAGUGUCCCCUUGUCGAUUACCUUUGGGUUUUUUUUUUUUUUUUUUAUAAAUUUAAUUGGUCACUACCAACUGGUAGAAUUUCUAGAACUUACAAGGACACAUGCAUCCUAUUUUUCAAUAAUAAAUGGGAAUUUUAUCUCGCUCCAUCCAAGAAAAGAAAGUUGGACUUUUGUGCAUGUAUGGUAUGUUAUGAUAUGACAAAUUAAAAUGAUCAAGAUUUGACUUGAUCAACCGCCUAAUCCUGUAAUCCAGCCAAAGUUGUGGCAUAUCUGACCAUCGGCCUCAAGAAUUCUCGCGUUACAAAAAUCAAACUAGACUAUGAUACUUUAGGUAUUUUUUUUCUUUGAUCUCAUGAAUUACUAGCUAGGGAUACCAUUAGAAACGUACUUGUUUGUUUGUUGAUCGAUGUUCACACAAAGUGGAGGUAAGACAAUUGUCAUGAGAAAGCAUAUAUACAUCACUCAAGGAAGGAUGGAUAGGGUUAGGACGUUUGUCUUCUAAAACUUGACUCGAAUGUGGUAACUUAUAAGACUUGCUUUGCAUUGUCACAAUUGUAGGAUCAAGAGGAAGACAAGUGGCCUAAGGGUUAAUUAAUAGGGAGUAUUUCCUUUGACAUUGAAAAAGGAUUUCUUGUGACUGUGGACUUCAAUCAACUCCAUCAACUUUAUAUUUGAGGGCCAUCAAUUUUUCACUCUUCUCAAAAUCAUGAUCUUUAAGAAUCCAAAGAAGUCGAUAGAAAAUUGAUGCUGUUAGGCCGAAAUCACCAAUUUAGAACGCUUCUAAUGCUAACCACUCACACAACCAAGAGAAACACGUGUUGAGUAUGUCUUUGUGUCCCACAUUGAAACUUUUAUAAAGAAGUAUCUUCUCUUAGUGGUUAUAAAUAUAGUAGACUUAAGUGAAUUUAAUUGUACUAAGGGCACCAACCCAAGUGUCGUGUACACUAGUUCAAUAGAGUAUUAGGGGGCCCAUGCCCCAACUAAGAGAGGUUUUGGUUUGGCAUCAAACCAAAAGAACAAGUCAUGGGCUUUUGGGCCAUUAUGUAUUUAGUGCUAUUUAGAUCUUUUGUGUUUUCAGUUUUAUGUGCCUUUUGGAUCUGAAAAUUAUUUCCUAGGGUUUUGUACUCUCUCUUUUUGUCAUAGUAAAUCUGCUACCUCUUUGCUCGUGGACGUAGGUCGAUUUGAUCGAACCAUGUAAAUUUCGUGUUUCUCUAUUUGAUUUAUUUGUUUUGUUAUUGUCAUUAUUGAGUUGACAAAAAUCCUAUUAUUCUCAUUGGUCAAUUUUCUAGAAUCAGACCUAACAAAUUGGUAUCAGAGUUUCAGGUUUCAGAUUCAACUUCAAGUUUGGGGUCAUGGUCAGAUUUUGGCUUCUUGAUGACAAUAACAAAUUUUGGGUGCUACAGAGAGUAAAAGAAAAAAAAAUUCAUUGGAGUUCAAUUGGGAUUUGAAGAAGAGUUAUUUGACCCGUUAGAACUCGUUAAGGGUUUUGACAAAAAGGUGGAGCAAGAUUACUAUGUUCGUGCUUUUUUAGUCCGUUGGGAUCUGUUGAACCUUUGUGGGGCAUGUUGAGCCUUUUGUAUCUUGGUUCGUUAGGACUCAUUGUGGUUCGUUGGGACUUUUGUAAUUCGUUGAGAUCCGUUGAGAUUUUUAUGGAGAAGAUGGAGUUUGUUUGCAAUUUGUCUACUAUUUACCGAUGUUGAAUACACGUCAAGGUGGAGAUUUGUUGAGUAUAUCUUUAUAUCCCAUAUCGGAACUUUUAUAAAGAAGUAUCUCCUCUUAGUGGUUAUAAAUAUAGUAGACUUAAGUGAGUUUAAUUGUGUUAAGGUCACUAGUCCAAGUGUCGUGUGCACCAGUUCAAGAGAGUUUUAGGGAGCUCACGCCCCAAAUAAGAGAGGUUUUGGUUUGGCAUCAAACCAAAAAAGCAAGUCAUGGGCUUUUGGGCCAUUAAGCAUUUAGUGUUAUUUAGAUUCUAUUGUGUUUUCAAUUUUAGGUGCCUUUUUGGCUCGAAAAUUAUUUUUUAGGGUUUUGUACUCUCUCUGCUGUACUCUCUCUUUUUGUCAUAAUAAAUCUAUUAUCCCUUCGCCCGUGGACGUAGGUCGAUUUGAUUGAACCACAUAAAUUUAGUGUUUCUCUGUUUGAUUUAUUUGUUUUGGUAUUAUCAUUAUUGAGUUGGCAAGAAUCCUGUUAUUCUCGUUGGUCAAUUUUCUGGGACCAGACCUAACAAUAUAUCUGGAAAAGGAAACUGAUGCCACUAAUUGCAUUAGUACUUGGAUAAACGCGUACGGAAAGAAUAAAACACUUAUUAGCACUUAGAAUCUAAGGUUACGGGCGAAUGAUUUUAAGUUAAAGUAAGAAGAGAAGUUGUCGCCUUUAUGCUGAUUUAUCUAACCCUCAAAAGUGCAUGCACCAAUAUGGUUUGGAAUGUCUUAUAAGUGAUGUCCAAACUCUCUUUGCUCGUGACUUCGAAUCAAUUCAAUAGAAUCAUUUAUAAUGCAGCUUCAUUGUCAAGACCAUGGACAUCGAAAUUGUAUUUACUUUUUUUUUCUGUAAUUUCUCGAAAUCACAUACACCUAAAAGAAAUUUUCUCCAGCAAGCUCCCUUGGCCAACGAAGACUUAAAAUUUGAAGAAAUGUCAAUACAUAAAUAUUCAAGCUCUUUUUACACUAAUUUAUAAUUAGAAAAUGAGACUGGGAAGUUGUUACAUAACAAGCUGACCGUGCUUGUUACUUUUGAGAAAUAUGGGUUUAACUGAUAUUUUUUCCCAGGAGGCCUCAAUUUCAAUUUUUAGUCCAAAGAGGGAAAAAAAUACAGUUUUAGUUUUAGAGUAUAUGAAGGUACAAAUUUUUAUCUAUGAGCCUUUAAUGUGUUAGCUUACUUAAAAAUUAGAAGUGCAUACAAUUUACAAAGCUUGUAGCCGUAUGAUCGAUCACAUAUGAGUGGAGAUACGAAUUCCCAAUCCUUCUAUAUAUAUAUAUAUAUAGAAGGCAAUUUUAAACUUUCAUUUUUAAAAUUUUUUUUUUAUUAUAUUAGUUCAUGUAGAAGGUUAAAGUAUUAUUAUUAUUAUUAUUUUGUGUUUGUCAAAUUAUUCAAAACUUAAAUACUUAACCAAAAUUUGUUAAAAACAGCUGAUUUGACUUAUUUUUAAACUUAAACAAUGAAAAUAGAGAUUAAAUCAAACUUUAUUUUCUUGGACAAAAAAAAGGACAAUAAUAAUAAUAAUAAUAAUAAAUAAUUUCGGCAACAAAAGGAAAAUAUUAUCAUAACAUCUUUGGCCAUCAACCGUCAAGGCCCCAGUGACGAAGACCCCCGCUGAUUUUAUAGCGCCAGCAAAAUUGAAGCACAAAAUUGAAACAGGAGUGACCUAACAAAAAUGUUUUAACAUUUUUAAGGAAGGAGUCCAAAUUUUUUUGCUUUUCUUGUCUAUACAUAGUCAGGAAACCUAUGGACUUCAACGAUAUACUGAUACAUCAAAGACUUGAAAAGCACAAAGAAACAUAACCUGAGAACUUUACCAAUGCUUCAGAAAUGACUUAAGAAGCAAAGUCUUGCUAAUUUCCGAGAAACUUCAUUUAGUCGUUAGUAGCUGGUACAUUAUACCUAUCCAAUACUAUCUCCCCCCGUGGACGGAACUAAGGGGGAGCGAUAGGGGCCUCGCGAAUUUCUUAGAAAAUGUAUAUAGGCCCCUGAAACUUUUUCAAACUUAUAUAUGAAGUCCUAAUUUCUAAAUCAAAUUUUAUCAUUUAGAGAAUCUACUUAAAUGUCAUUGUUUAAAACCAACUUUUAGUUUUUUUUUUAUAUUAGCAUAAGAUACAAAUUUAUUAUACAACUAGUCUUAAUAUGUAAUUAGUAUUUGUGUUUGGUAUAUACUAUUUUUAAAUACUAACUAAAGAAUCUCCUUUAAUUAUUCUUUAUAAAAAAAAAUCCUAUGUAUAGCAAUUCAAGUCUUAGUUUCCUUAUAUUAGCACACAUAUCAGUUUUCACUUCAAUAUUUUUAUAGCAUUAUUAAUGAGUCUAACUUUUAAAUAAUAACUAAUUAAAAUAGUAACUUAAGAAACACUAUAUCAAUAUGCAAAAUAAAAAAAAAAAGACAAGACAAAGAGAAUAAAUCGAACACAAGUAAAAGAAGAUUUAACGAUAGGGUACAAAUUAUCAAUGUGUUAUAUAUAUAUAUAUAUAUAUAUAUAUAUAUAUAUAUAUAUAUAUAUAUAUAUAUGUAUGUAUGUAUAUUUGUAAGUGGGAGGUCUUGUGUAUGUAUAUUUGUAAGUGGGAGGUCCAAGACCUCCCACUUAUAAUCUUUUUCAUCCUAUCCUUUAAUCCAACCCUCUCUCCUCCAAAAAAAAAAAAGGAAAAAAAGGAGUCUUAGUCAAAAUAAAAACCAAAAUUUUUAGCUUCUAUCUCUAUUUGAUCAAGCAUUGAUAUCCGCCAACUCCAUUAAACCACUUCAAGCAUUAACUAUUUUACUGGACUCUAUUUUUAAAGACAAUUUUAUUUUAAAAUAUCACAAAUCCUAGUUAUUAAAUAUUUAAAUAGCUAUUCUUAUUCUAAAUUUAUAACUUAAAAAUUUAUGAUGAGUAUCAGGUUAUAAUAUAUUUGUGUAAUGUUUGCCCCCCUAAAGCAAAAUUCUGAUUCUGCCAUCGCCUACAUGACACUUUUUUUUUUUUAAACGAUAUUAGAGAUAUAUUGAUCAUCAACUGAACUUUACACCUGGAGCAAAAGCCCCUUAUAUCUAUACAAAAAGUGCUUAAUAGCACAGAAAAUUGAUCCAUUGCCUACAUGACUUCACCAUGGUCAUUUACUGCCACAAUUGGUGCCUAGUAUAUGGUAGUUGAAACAGGAGCUAGCCCCGGCGCCGCUGGGCAUUAGGUCGACACAAAGAUGAGUGAGGAAAUUGAGUUGGUUGGCACGAAACGAAUUAUACCUGCAUGAUAUGACACAAGUGACUAGCUAGUGCUGUAUAAUAUGCACUAACUACUUCAUGUUGAAUAUAGCCAUGAUUGAUGAAGGGAAGAUGAUUCUAUCGGUACUUUGUGCUCAAAAUGGGGAUGAGAUAGUGCAGCACAACUGCUAAUGUGAAAUUUCCAAAGGAAUGGUGAGCUCCACUCAAUUCAGAUAAGCCAAGGACAAGAAAGGAGGAGAAAGAAGGACGAAGAAAAGCAUAUAGUUUUGGUCCCUGAUUCUCGUGCAUAAAGGAUAAUUGAUCUAGUUAUUGGACCACAUUAUAACGAAAAUGGGAAAGAAAUAAAAGCAAAUUGAGCACUCCUAGCGUUUGUUGUGUAUGCUAAUAGUGCCUAUGCUACAAAUGCAUUGACUUACUAGAAGAGAAAAAAGAGAGAAAAUGCUCAUGUGGACCUAGACCAAAGUUUCAAUGGAUGUGUUUGUGUCUCUUUAUAUAUAUGCGUACCAAAGCACUCUGAAAAGGGCGGAAACGUGAAUAAGAUUCUCGAUAUGUUUGGAAAAAAUUUAGUGUGCCAAUAAUUCAGCGUGUAACCAACUUCGUCCACACCAAAGUGACCCUAACAAAAACGUUUUAUCAUUUUUAAGGUAUCAUUGCCCCAAAAUUUCAUGCUUUUCUUGUCUAUACAUAGUCAGGAACCCAAGGACUCCAACCAUAUACUGUUACAUCAGAGCCUUGAAACCACCAAAAAAAAGGAAAAAAAAAAAAAGGCCCUGAGAAUUUAUGCAGGAUGGGCACAAUCAAUUAGCCAAUGCUUCGAAAAUGACAUGAGAAGCGAGGUAUAGUUUCCCCAUAACUUCAUUCAGUAAGAAUUGGUUUGUACACCCCAUAUAACUUCACCAUAGCCAUUUACUAUAGCAAUUGAUGCCUGGGAUAUGGUACCAUUGGCUAGGAGCGUGCAAAAUAGAAAAAUUUCGAUUUAUCGGCCGAAUUCGAAUUGAAUUCAGAAUUUUUGAAAUCGGUAAUUCUGAAUUUGGCACUGAAAUCGGAAUUUCUGAUUUCGAAUUCAAAUUUUGAAAUCGGAAAUCGAAAUCGAAAUUUCUGAUUUCAAUUUUGUUUUAUAAUAUAUAUUAAUCUAUAUUUAUAUAUAUAAUAAUAUUUUUUAUUUCAAUUUCGUUUUAUAAAUAUAUAAAAUAAUAAUAAUUUUUUAUUUCAAUUUCAUUUUAUAAUAUAUAUUUAUAUAUAUAGUAAUAUUUUUUUAUAAAAUAUGUAAUAUAAAAUUUAUAUUAUAUAACAAUACAUCUAACAAAAAAGGAAAAAAAAAAGGGAAAAAAAUGUUUUCGAAUUCGGUGAAUUCAGAAUCGAACUCGAAAUCGGAACUGGUGAAUUCGAAAUCGAAAUCGAAAUCGAUCGGUAAUUCUUAUGCCAAAAUUUUUAAAAUUUUUGAAUUCAAACUUUCAAAUUACCGAAUUCGAAUUCAUUGUACACCCCUACCAUUAGCAAUUAGGUCGACACAAAGAUGAGUUUGGAAAUUGAUUGGCAGCAUGAAAAAAAUUACACUAGUGUGAUAUGACACAGUUGACUAGCUAGUGCAGUAUAAUGUACACUAGCUACUUCAAGUUCUUGUUGACUACAUAAAUGAUAAAUGAGGGGAAGAUGAUGGGAUAACGAGUUUGUGCUCGCAAUGAGGAUGAGAUGCUGGGAAAUUGAUGUGUAAUUUCGCAAGGAAGGGUGAGCCCCGCCCGACUAAGAUGAGCCAAAGUACAAGAAAGAAGAGAAAAGAAUAAAAGACGAGGAAGAGCACAGUUUUGGUCCCUGAUUCAUGUACUAUUUUGUCGUGCAUAGAUGAUAAAGUUAGGAUUGUAAUUGAACCGAGUUGCCGGGAAGAGCAUGGUUGUGGUCCCUGAUUCAUGCACUAUUUUGUCGUGCAUAGAUGAUAUUUUGUCGUGCAUAGAUGAUAAUUGGGGCUGUGAUCGAACCAAACUCUAUGAUAAUUAGGGCCGUAAUCGAAUCGAGCUAUUCACGAGCAGUUCGAUCAAAAACUCCCCUCGAAUUUGAAUUGACCAAGUUCGAAUAGCUCAAUGGAUCUAGCAACUAUCGAGUUCUAGUAUUCAAUAACAAGGCUUGUCGAGCUUUAUCAAGUUUUUAAAUUUUAAUUCUUUAAUAUAUUAUUAUUAUAAAAUUAUCCUUGUGCUUACAAGAGUGGUUGAAAUUACGAAAUGUUUCAGGUCAUAUGAAAUUUUUUGAAGGGUAAUAAUAUCUUUUUACUAAAAAAUUGUCAAGAAAAAUGAAAUUCCCAAAUCUUCCUGAGUCAAGAUUGAUAUAUAAAGCUCGCAUUGACUCGAACCCCGUACAAGUCGAGUUUAAGUUCUAUGAGCAUUGCAUCGAGUUUGAACACCACAAAAUAAUGCUACUCACUUGAGCUCGAGUUCGAGUAUCCUUCCUGCAUGUGAAGUCGAACUCGAAUAUGACGAUAUAAAACAAAUUGAGCACUCCUAGCCUUUAUUGGGUAUGCUAUUUAAUGUCUACGCUACAAACGCGGUAAGAUAAAAUACUCAUUAUUAGCUACAUUUGGAUCGGCAGAUCUGACGAAGGAUUUGCAAUCCUCUCAAAUUUCUGUAGGUGCUUAAAUUAUUUAGAAUGCAUUUGAAUUUGUAAAUUAUUAAUUAUUCUAGUGUUUAAAGUGUGUUUAAAUAAUUGGUGAAUUACAAUUCCAAAUUCUUCUUAAACCAUCCAAACAACUAAAGCGAUUUUAGUGGAUUUCAAAUCCUUUGUCAAAUUCUUCAGUCGAAAUGAAGCCUCAUAUAAAACAAAGUUUCAAAUUUCUCUGGAUAGACGUUACUAUACUAAUAUUUAUUUAAAAGCAGAGUAAAAGCCUAAGACAUGAUACAAUGAAGGAUGAAAUUGAUGUAAGCAUUUUCUUUUUUAAGAAAACCAACUAAUAUUCGAACUACUACAUAUAUUAUACUUGUGAACUGCAAAAGCCCCACUAAUGAAUAAUCUCUUCAACACUCUAUUUUAAUCUUUUUUUUUUAAUUUUUUUAAUACUUACAAACAAUUAAAUGCCAUAGCAAUUAAAAACCAACCAAUUUUCAUACCAACAGGUAACGACGGUCAAGAAGGCAAAAGCGAGUAGUCAAACUUGAGCAAUGUGCCAACCAUUUCCGAUGUCGUUUACUUUCCGAGUGCUCUACUUUAAGUUAAAGGAUGUGGGACCCAUGUCGAAAAGGACAAAACCUUUUCGUCUCACGGUUUCCCAUCAUUAAAACCCGGUUGGGUCGUUGACUCAAGACUUUGUUCAUGUGCGUUAAGGAUUCCGGGGCCCACCUAAUUAACGUGCAACCACUCAGAGCCCAGCCCACCCGCUCGCCCAUUUAUUAAUACCGAUGAGGAGCAAUUUUCAAACAAAUCUUCGCAUUUUGCAAAUGAUGAACUAGACGAGUGUCUACUGAUUACAAAUAAAUUAACACACACUUAAUUGUAUUUUAGGCACAAGAUCCAUUGCUUCUGAUCUUGAUGACGCCAAUUUCUCUAUUUUAUUUUAUCUCAUCGGUACAAGAAUCAAAGGUUUCGGCGAUUUGGAAAUGUCUGAUGCAAUUUCUGCCAUUAGUUUAACACGUAUAUUUUUUUCGUACGUAAGUGGAAACUCAAUUGCAACAAAAAAUGAGUUCAUAUCGUGAAAAAAAACAAAAGCUUUUGGUUAGUUAAAUACAUAUGCAGUUAUGUACGGAUGUAACAUCAUAUCUGGUCAAAACAUUUUGUUCAAAUUAGUUGUCUUAAUCCUAUCAUUGACACUUGCUUUGGUUAUAGUUUGUUGUUUGUAGCGUAGCCACGUAAUUGCUUGAUAUUUUACAAAACAAGAGCAUUGUCAAAUUAAAAGUUAGACUAAUAAAUAACCGAGUACCAAAAAGUAGAUAUCACUUUAAUGUAUUCUAUGACGUAAGUGUCGAGCUAACAUAAAGUGUUUUUUUUCUUUUUUUCCUUUAAUUCUCCCGUCUCUUUCUACGCUCUUCUUACCCUCUUUUGCCGGGACCAAAACGCUUAUCAUGAAGUGAUUAAGAAGCCUUUUUCAAGACAUAAAUCAACUCCUUUGAUUAGUUACCCAAUUAAACAUAAGUUCAAGUGUAAACAGAAGAAAUGGGAGUUCAUUAGAAGUCACGGAUUACCUACCAAGGAAAAAGAAUUAUCACGAGUUCAAAUCGGCGCAUGAGAUUUUUUUUUUUUUUUUUUGGUUCUAAUGUGAUCCUAUGAGUAUAAUUCACUAAGUUCAGUCAUGCAAACAAUCACAUCGUUUUUUUAAAUAAAGGGGAAAAAAAAAAAGGAAAGGUUAUAUAACUUGUAACCUGUACCUGUCAAGAGCUAUUAUACAUGCAAUCAAAUGUAUUUUGGAGGAUACCAAGCAACCAUCCCAUAAGAAAAAAUAACAAUAAAAAAAAAGAGAGUGAAACUAAUUGAAUUCUCAGGCAUAUUCUUAUCCAUGCUCAAAAAAGUCUGAUAGUAUAGUCCAUCAAUUCUAGAAUAAUUUCCGUAUUCUGACAUCGGAGAAGUCUAAAGGUGGAUACGUGUACGGAGACGGACACAAUAGGAAAUUUAUAUAAUUUUUUUGUUGAAAUUAGACUAAAGUUGAUAAAUUAUUAAUAUGUCUUCGUACCACGGUUUAUUUUUAUAUUUCUAAAAAAAGAAAUAGUGGUAUUAGAAUGUAAUACGUAGAUAAACGUGUGCUCAUUGAAUAAUAUCUGUUAGAAAAAAAUCAUUGUUUAAAACGAAACAUAUUAAAAAUAAACGAACACAUUAUAUUAGUCAAUUAAUUCGAUUAACAAAACAUCUUUUGAAUAAAAAGGGCUCUCAAUUAUACAUCAAUCACAGGACAGUCAACACACGGGAAAAGGCAGAUCAGAUGAAGAGAAACAAACACGUUUCAUCUGAUUUCAUUACAUGUGGAGCGUUGACCAGACAUCCGUUGAAUGCUGACCACAAAAUACCAUUCACAUUUGCACCCCAAAAACAACGAAAAAAUAACAAAUCAGCCCCUGUUGGGACUCAGAUAUUGCCACGUUGGGUACUUCCGAUUCCAAGCAUUAACUCGUCGAAAUCCUAUUGGUUUCGAACCCAUCUCAUUUUGUGGUUCGAGGUCGCGGACUCGCGGAUAAGAAUACGCUUGACAGAUACCUUGACCAAAAGACUAGAGGAUUCCGUGAUUUUCUUUACUAGUUUUGGAUUUGUUUGUUCAAUGGUACUAAUUAUCGUAAACAUAUAAUAGAUUUCUCAAGUAUUAAUUUUUCGCAAAAUAAAUUUAAAUCACACAUGUAUUUCAAUGCAAAAGGCAUAAUAAAGGUAAAUCAGUGUAUUAAAAUGGAUACCUUGAGCAGGUGACUUGCAUUUUACUUUUGAAUUUCGGAUUUAUGUAAGCUAUUGUCCACUUGACACCUCUUAAUCCAACUUAUUUGAAAAGUCAUUUUUUUCAAAAAAAAUUUAUAUUUUUCAUAAACAUACGUAGGGGUGUUCACGAAUCGAGCCGCUCGCGAGCGGCUCGAAUACGAGCUCGUCAAUAUCGAGUUCGAGCUAAUUAAAUCGAUUUCGACCUCAAGCUCGAGCUAAAAAACAUUAACCUCAUUGACUCGCGAGCUCAAUUAUAUAUAUAUAUAUAUAUUAUUUUUUAUUUUAAUAGCAAAAUUACAUAUAUAUCCCUAAUAUUUUAUUAUUUAUUAAAAAAUUUAUUAUUUUAUUCAUUUUUAAAAAUAAAUAAUUAUUUUUUUAAAAAAUAAAAUAAUAAUAAUUAUUUUUUUUAUUUUUUAAGAACUCGAGCUCGACUUGAAUUUGAGUCGAGCUCGAGCUCGAGCUUGAUAUUUUGAGCUCGUCGAGCUCGAGCUCGAGUUUCACAAAAUUAACUCGAGUUCGGCUCGAUUAGUCAAAGCUCGACUCGAGCUCGGCUCGUUUGCACCCCUAAACAUAUGUUUGAAUUAUCUUUGUAUCUUAUAUAUAUCAAAUUGCUAAAGUAUAUUUUUCUACAUAAAUUUUAGAAAAUAGCAAUUUAAAAGGAAAAUUUUUUAAAUAUUAAUGUUUUGAAAAAUAGCUCCCCGUGGAUUGGAUCAAAAACAGUUUUAGUUUGCAGAUUUUGUAGUACCAACUCCAAAAAAUAACUCAAAAAAUGCAUACAAUAAUGUCAAAUACAAUUUACGGAAAAAAUAAAAUAAUUACCCAAUACUAUAAUAUUUUCAUCUUCCACCACAAUUACCUGCUACACCGCCAUCACCUUUCCCCUCCUUCUUCCGGAAAAAUCCCCAAGAACACUUAAUUCACCCGGAGUCUCUGUAUCUACUGCGAAAGAGGUGAUAAAUAUUAGUGCAUUAAAAAAUAAAUACGAUAUAUUUUAGAUGCAUAGAUAAUUAUGAGUUUUUAUUUUUAUAAUAUUUUUCGGGUCAUGCCUGAUAAGACUUCACUUAUUUACUGCAGUUAAAGCGGAACCAUCCACAGCCACGCAGUUAAACCAACCCCCCACGCCGCUCCGUACCCUACCGCCUGCCCAUGCCCCCUUCCUACGGGUUGCUCGUUCUCUUUAGACUAUAUAAAUCCAUAAUCUCUCCUAGACUGCAAUCCUCGUAUACAGAUACAGCUCUAAUUGAGCUUUUCUUCUGCUCUCUUUUAUUGCCAUUUUCCAUCGUUAGUGUGUCUUUAGUCCAAGGCUAUACUACCUCAUAAAUGCAAGAACAUUUUUCCUUCUUUGGCUGGAUUUCUUAGACAUUACAUCCCAUAAGUUUCUAUCAAACCGAGUGUAUAUCACAGCCCCAUAGCUAUUCCACCUUUGACGGUGCAUUUUUCUGAAACUCUAGCCGAGUUCUUUAAAGGUCAGUUGCUCUAUUCUUUCCUUUUUUAAGUCGGGAUUUUUGUUAUCCAAGAUUUGCAGUGCAGAGAACUUGCCAUGCAUGUGGUUCACACACUGGUUGCCACGAUUUUUUUAGUUAGUAAUUUGUAUAUGGACUGAAGCAAAAUGGUAAUACCAGUUCUAUCCAUUAUUUUAGCUGCAAAAACGUUUAGACAAAUUUUUUUUUUUUUGAGUUUAAGUUUUAAGAGAAGAAGGAAAAUGAAACCGGUUAAGGGACUGGCAAUAUUUUUAAGGUGGAAUUCGACUUGGGACUUUAUGAAAGUUUAUAUUUAAUUCCAUAGAUGAGUUUUGUGGUCUACAUAUAUGCUGAAAACCAACCUUCACUGCAUAUUCAAUUAUGCACUUUCUUCUUCUUCUUCUUCUUUUUUAUUUAGUUUCAUCAUUUCACUUCAUCACUGAUAUUGACAAGCUAAAACGGAUGAUGGAGUUUGUAAUUCCACCAUCCAUUUUCAAUCCAUAUAGCAGCCUUGUCUCUUGGACACUUGUUAAUUUGAUUUUUCACAUUUAUUCUUCUUCCUAUGGGGUCUACUGGAUAGAGGCCAGAGAGAGGGGGAUUGUGGGGUUGGUGGGAAGUUUGCUUUUUUCUUUUCCUUCAAGAGUGUGGUCUUGCAGAUUCAAAGAAUCGUAAUUUCUUGUACUUUUAAACACUUCAGAAUCUUUUCUCCUGUAUAUAUCAACCCAUAAAAACGCGUGAUUCUAUUAUUUUUGUUCGAUUAAGUUUUUUGUAGCCUUUUGGUUUCACUUUUUAGAACCACUACUAUUUUGUCCGCUUAGUCCUGGUUCACAUGCUCUGUUUCUAAUGUUGAGAAGCUCAUUUUUUUUUUUAUCCCCUUCCUGCAGAAUUGGAGAUUUUUUAUGGAAAUUAUACUUAAACACCAUGUUAGUGAUUCCUUUUCGAUUAAUUACGUAGCAACUUUUCUUUUAAAGAACUUUUAAAAGUGGUUAAGAAGGAUACUGUGCUGGAAAGUUCAACGGGGUAGAACUUUCCUGUUGAAAUUAUGCACCAGAUAGUAACCACCCGAUAAUUAAACAAAGGGAAUUCUGCCUGGGAGAGCCUCUCCGAACCCUACGGCUAUUUAGUUUUUUAUAGCUAAUGUGUUUGGGCUUUUUUCUUUUCAUUUUUCUUGUUGCAGAUUUAGUGGGAAGGGGGUGUACUCUAGAGUCUAGACCAAGAGCCAUUAACACUGUACCAUGUUAGACUGGCAGUGGGGUAUAAUCAAAUUUUCUAUAGAUAAUUAUAUGACACAAGUUUUAAUGUACACAAAUAAUUGGCGCAAGUUUCUUGAAUCUAAGCUUUAUGUUGGGUUCAGAUGGUAUCGUUGAAUUGUCAAAUUAAGUGCUACUACAUCUUAGUGGCCAUCACAAUUCACAAAGGUGACAAAUUGGGCCACCAACUUUGAAAAUUCUUGCAUGCAUAGGAAGUGUCAAAACCGUGGCAAAGAAAAAAGGGCAUGCCUGUAUUUGUUUUUAUUUCAGACAUGUCUACCUACCCAACUUGUUACACUAAUGAAACCACAAGUUUGCCCCACAGCUGAAUAUAUAUAGUUUUUCUGGCCCUUAUCAUGGAUGAGAUGUCAUAAUUUGUAAGUCACAAGAAACUCUUUGAUUUAUGGUGCGAGAUGUUCUAAUUCUUGUUCUUUUAUGUGCCAUCUUACAGGAUAUAAGAGUUUCAGAAAUUACUAGCAGCAUAAAAGUUUUUAGUGAAGCAAGUUGAGUAAUCAUGCCUCAGCAACAAUUGCAGGUGCUUAAUGCACUUGAUGCUGCCAAAACACAAUGGUACCAUUUUACUGCUAUUGUGAUUGCUGGCAUGGGCUUCUUCACUGAUGCCUAUGAUCUCUUCUGCAUCUCUUUAGUCACCAAAUUGCUCGGCCGGAUUUAUUAUCAUGUCCCUAAUGCACCCAAGCCUGGCACUCUGCCUCCAAAUGUUUCAGCUGCUGUCAAUGGUGUUGCCUUUUGUGGCACCCUUGCUGGCCAAUUGUUCUUCGGUUGGCUUGGUGACAAGAUGGGGAGAAAAAGAGUCUAUGGCAUGACCCUCAUGCUCAUGGUUAUUGCCUCAAUUGCAUCCGGCCUUUCCUUUGGGGAUAAACCAAAGGCUGUUAUGGCCACUCUUUGCUUCUUCCGCUUCUGGCUAGGAUUCGGUAUUGGUGGUGAUUACCCCCUUUCUGCCACAAUCAUGUCUGAGUAUGCUAACAAGAAGACCAGAGGAGCCUUUAUUGCUGCAGUGUUUGCUAUGCAAGGUUUUGGAAUUCUAGCUGGUGGGAUGGUGGCAAUUAUUGUUUCUGCUGCCUUCAAGGCUGGAUUUCCUGCUCCUGCAUAUAAAGAUGAUGCUCUUGGUUCAACUGUGUCUGAAGCUGAUUAUGUUUGGCGCAUAAUUGUUAUGUUUGGUGCAAUUCCAGCUGCUCUUACGUACUAUUGGCGAAUGAAAAUGCCUGAAACUGCCCGUUACACGGCCUUAGUUGCAAAAAAUGCCAAACAGGCUGCUAAUGAUAUGUCCAAGGUAUUGCAAGUUGAACUCGAGGCAGAACCAGACAAGGUUGAGAAGCAUGUUCAGGCGCCUGGAAAUGAUUUUGGUUUGUGGAGUAAGAAGUUCCUUAAGCGCCAUGGACUUCAUUUGCUAGGAACAACUACCACAUGGUUCUUGUUGGAUAUUGCAUUUUACAGUCAGAAUCUUUUUCAGAAGGACAUCUUCAGUGCCAUUGGUUGGAUCCCACCGGCCCAAACAAUGAGUGCUAUUGAAGAAGUUUACAGAAUUGCAAGGGCUCAAACUCUUAUUGCUCUCUGCAGUACUGUCCCGGGAUACUGGUUCACAGUAGCACUGAUCGACAAAAUAGGACGAUUUGCCAUUCAAUUGAUGGGAUUUUUCUUUAUGACUGUGUUUAUGUUUGCCCUAGCUCUUCCUUAUAAUCACUGGACUCACAGGGACAACAGGAUUGGCUUUGUGAUCAUGUACUCACUGACCUUCUUCUUUGCAAAUUUCGGUCCUAAUGCAACAACAUUUGUUGUUCCAGCAGAAAUUUUCCCAGCAAGGUUAAGGUCCACGUGCCACGGUAUAUCGGCAGCUGCUGGGAAGGCAGGAGCUAUUGUCGGAGCAUUCGGAUUUCUGUAUGCUGCUCAAUCCACUGAUCCAAAAAAGACUGAUGCUGGCUAUCCUCCUGGUAUUGGUGUGAAGAACUCCCUUAUUGUUUUGGGCUGUGUUAACGCCCUCGGAAUGAUGUUCACAUUCUUGGUGCCUGAGUCUAAAGGAAAAUCUUUGGAAGAGAUCUCUGGAGAGAUUGAUGAAGAAAAUGAGACUGCAACUGAUACGAGACUGCAAGGAGCGAGUGAUAAUAGAACAGUUCCAUUUUGAAAUAAAUUAUUUUAAGCAUGGUUUCGUGCUUGUAUCUUCAGAGCUUAAGAUUCAGAUUUCUAAGCUCUCUAGCCUUAGUGCUCAUCUUAAGAUGAAAUAUGGAUAAGUUUCUUUUUCCUUUUCUUUUUUCCUAAUCUCCUAUAGCUGUAUUACUCUCUUGUAUAAUAAGAAUAGUUCAAUGCCUAAAUUCGAGUUGCCAUAGUAAGUGUGAGUUGUGAACAAAAAUAGAUGCUCUUAUAAAAGAAGACUCUUUUGUGUUUAAUUAAUUAUAGCCUACAGUAGUUUUCUUCCUUUCCCUUUUUUUUUUUUUGAAAAAUUUUUUUUCUUCCUUACCUUCUGUCUUCUACUUCUGCUCUUGUCAUGUUUGGUAUCAUUUGUUAAUAGUGAAAUUUCAUUUCAAGGAACCAGUAAAAAAAUUGGGCUUUUUAACCAUAGAAAAUUUUGUAAUAUGAUGCAACGAGGGCAAAGGUCAUUUAAUCAUUGCACAGGUAUGAUGAUAUUUCCUUAAUAUUUGCUAUUUGUACAACUAGUAAUAUUUCACGUGCUGUAUAUGUGAUUCUAUUACGCUAUUUAACACCAUAUGAUUACUAUAUUGUUUAACAUUCUUUUUUGUUAUUAUGAACAACCAUAAUAUCCUACUUUAAUAAUAGUGCUACAUGUGGCCACUAAAUCAUUUAUUUUACAUUCAUUAUUUGUAUCCAAUUUAUUUUGGCAAAUCAUCUAAUCAUAUACUAUGUCAAUAUUCCCUUCUAUGACAUUUGAAUUGAAUUUUUCAAUUUUUUGGAUGAUAUUUUGUCAUUCUUUAUGCCAAUUUAUGAUUUUUCCCUUUUUUUUUGGGGGUAAAAUAAAAAGUCUUUUGCUUAUUACGUAAAGAAGUCUCGUCACAUUCAUCAAAUUCACGAAGUCAGAACUACGGUUAAACACUUUAAAUUGAUCAAUAUUUAACUCUAAUCACGCACAUAAACAAAGAAUUAGAUAGCUCUGAAAAAGAAUAAAAGUAUUUAAAAAAUUGUGAAAAAUUUAUAGAAACAAAAAUAAAAGGACAAAGAAUAGAAUGCUUAUUUAUGCACACGGACACAUCCAUCUAAAGAAAGCAUGCCAUAACUUUUCUGAUGGAAAUCCACAUUCACCUUGUACAAUAAUCUUAUUGAACAAUUUGAAAUUACGAGAAUAUUGAUGAAGUCGCCCUCAGGGGCUUGGUCUGGUGGUUGAGGUUGCUGAAGAUGGAGUCUCAGGUCCCUGGUUCGAACCUUGCUGCCAGCAAGUUGCUGAGGGUGGUGAAUAGUCUGCGGGGUCUACUCCCUGCGGGACACACCUAAAAAAAAAAAAAAAAAAAGAGAAUAUUGAUGAAGUCGAAAUAAUAGAUAAACAGUAGUAGAUGAUAUUAUCGGAGAAAUUAAUUCAUCCAUGGGAUCCAUAUAUAUGGAUCAGUUAAGUUGGCAAAAGUGAGUAGCAGUGGUUAUGAUCGGAAUAGUUAGAGAAGUUGUGAGGAAUUUUCCAAGGAUAUUGUUGCUUAUUGGACAAAUAGGGAGUUUGCGAACGUGAGUUUCUUAUCUCAAACUGCAUUAAAACAUUGCAAAUUGCAAUUCUCAUUUUUUGGUUGCUUUGACAAGAUAUUCCCAUUUCGGUUUGAAGCUGUACAAAGUAAAAAGGAAAAAGAAUUGCCGGAAUAAAGAUCGAAACUAAAAAAUCAAAAUGCAUUGCUGUCCAUACUUAUAUUAUUUAUUGAUAAAGGGAUUUUAAUUAUGGUUAAUGCCAUAAAAAUUAAAGAGAUACUGAUUAUACACAAAUAAAAAUAAAUUUUCUAUUAAGGUCCUUUUGUAUUUAACAUAGCACUAUGUCCAUAUAUAAAUUAGUUAAAUUUUUAGGCCCCUAAAACAAAAGUAGAAUAUCUAUACGAAAAAAGAAUUAACCAAAUUAGAGUAAAAGCAAGACAUAUGCGAAGAAUUGACUACGAAAAAUAAAACUUUUAAAAUAUUGUAUCAUGGCUCUUAAAUGUUUUAAAAUUAAUUAAUGAGCUUCCCUUGCAAUUCUGAUUAUAUCUACAUGGCACAUACAAAAUAUACUUACCUGAUAAUAAAAGUGGUUUGAAAUACAUAAUAAUUAUUGAAAUAUCAAAUUAAGAUUUAUAGUUAACAAUAAGGGAAAAAAUUGGAAACCUCUACCAAAAUUUUAUUUAGUGAUAUUUUGAAAACCUACACAUAUAUUUAAUUAGUGGACAUAAAUGUACUUUAACAUGAGUUAAAAAUAUAUGUAUUACCAAAUAAAUAAAGAAUGAUUAUAAUACAUAUAUUUUUCACAAAUAAAUUUUAUGCCAAAUAGAGGAAGGGAUAGAUUGGGUGGCAUGAUGAAGGAAUGUAAAUGAGAGAUUAUACUUUAGUCCUCCACAGCAAACUCCAAGUCAAGAAGAAUGAUUAUUUAUUUUAGGAAAAAUCUGAUGCUUAAUGUUCAAAUCCUAGUCAUUUAGUAUGGUUUUGAUGGUUGAUAAUUGUAAUUAAUUAGCAUAUAUAUAGAAAAAUAUAUAUGAAAAAAAGAACUAUUUUGGUGCUUACUGUCAAACAAGAACAUAGCAAGCUAUCAUCAAGAAAAAGAAUAACAAGAAUAACUAAAUCAGCAGAUAAAGGGGUGCUUCUUCUCUGCCAUAUUUUCUCUCUGCACUAUAUCAUUAGUGAUCAGGCAUCCAGGGGCUAAUUCCUUAGAAUAUUUGUAUUUAAAAAAAACAACCAUCAAAUACACCUCUGACAUGGGUGUUUCUCAUUGUAUAGCUGCCGUGCUGAUUCAGCACGGCCGCAUAAUUAAAUAUUCCACCUAAAUCUUGUCUGCAAAAAAUUCAGUGGUGCAGAGGGUGUCAGUGCGGACGUGCUGAUUGGGCACGUCCGCAGCUGAAAUAGCUGUCUGCUCAUGUGUCAGACGCGGACGUGCUGACUGUGCACGUCCGCGGCUGACCAAAGUGACUCAACUCUGCGCAUGUGUCAGACGGAUGCAAAUGCUAUGAAACUGUGAUCAAUAUCAAUGCAAAUGAUGUAAGCAUUUCGAAGAAUGCUCAGACACUUCAUCCUUCCUUUCUUUCUUUUUUUGUUCUUAAUAAAAUGACAACAAAAAAGCUGCAAAAUAUUUUUGGAGACAAAAAAGUGCCCAUCUAUGUAUUUAAUGGUAGUAAAUUUCUUUAUUUUAUCACUUAAUUUUUCCUACUCUUAAAUUAGUCUUGGAUUAUAAUGCAACUAGUGAUAGAAGAGAAUCUUAACAACCAUGAUCAAUUGUUUAGUAGUUCUUCAGUAAAGUACUAAACUUUAUUAUUAUUAUUAUUAUUAUUAUUAUUUUUUUGAAAUUGUGUAUUACUUUAGGAUUUAUUAAACAAUGUUAGAGUUUUUUUUUAAAAUUAAAAAAAGAUUUCUACAAAAGUAACACAAAGUUAUCGUUAAAUUAUACCUUGAGCGUAUUUUGGCAUUUAAAAAAUUAGAAAAAUCUAUGGAGUGAGUGUUUAUGUCAUUUAACUCUUUUUAAAAUGCGAAGAAUAUCAUUGACCAUUAACAAACUUCUGUACAGCCCAAAUAAAAUGAUCGAAUACGAAUAUUAAUUACUUUCCCAAAAUGUUGCACUAAAUAUAUAUAUAUGUAUAUAUAUAUAUAUAUAUAUUUAUAUAUGAUAUAAGUGAUCUCCAGAACAAGUGCAAAGUGGCCCUGGAAAAGUAUAUAGAAGCCUCAUCAUGACAUUCCACUCUGAAGCAAUAAGCAUUCAUCUUAAAACUAUUUUUUUUAGCAUGUGUCAGACGCGGACGGGUUGACUGGGCACGUCCGCGUCUGACACAACAGACCAGCACUGAUUUUGUGUCUCCCGGGGACGUGCCCAGUCAGCACGUCCCCGUGUGACACAUGCGCAGACUUGGAGUCAGCUUUUUCAGCCGCGGACGUGCCCAGUCAGCACGUCCGCGCUGACACCUCUGCACCACUGAAUUUUUUGCAGACAAGAUUUCGGUGGAAUAUUUAAUUAUGCGGCCGUGCUGACUCACCGCCGCUAUAGAAUGAGAAAGACCCAUGUCAGAGGUGUAUUUGACGGUUGUUUUUUUUAAAUACAAAUAUUCUAAGGAAUUAGCCGCAUCGAGGAGGCCUGGACCAGAAUCAUGAGAAAUUGUACUGACCGCCACUAAAGAAGACAGACUUAAUAAAAAAAAUCUCCAUCCUCCACUGUGUGUUGAAUUAUUUAAAGAUAAAUCUCUAGAGAAAGUUAAUCCUUGAUUCUUGUUAUAGCUUUAAAGAUAAAUCUCCUACCAUUGUUUUUGUAACGCCUGGUGGCCUAGCCAAAACUAGGUUAAGCAAGGAAAGGUUAGUCACAUAUUAAAACAAAGUCAAUUGGUUUGGAAGUGUAUUACCGUUCAAAUCACCAUGUCAACUUUGUUAUUCCUAACUCGAGAGAGUUGAUGCAGCAUGGCUUGUAGAAGGAUAUAAAAAUUGAUUGGCAAGAAGAGUAAAAUCCCAAGUAGAGGAUGAAAACAACAUAAGUAGAUAUAACUGAUUGAUGAACUUUUGUGAACAAAUUCAGAUAAUCCUUUACGAGCUCUGAUCAUCAUUCAACAUUCACACUGCAAAGAUCAAGAUUUAUCAAGUCUCAUCUAGGCUUCGGCUCUUUAACUCGAGCUCCAAAAUAUUAAGCCUAUGCUUUUUGCAACAUUUAUAGAAGAAAGCAGACCUAAUAAGUAGACAGGUAGAUGGGAAUUUAGACAACGAGGUGCCUGUACAGUUUGAGAUUAUACAUAGGUCGGGGGAUAUAGAAGUUUCAACUUAUAACAGCCACUGGUCUAGCUUCUUCAACAGCCACGGGUCUGAUUUCACCACCUCCUUCCCCUGUCAUCCAUGGAUGCCCUGAAGUAACAGAUCAGAGGAUCGAAAUUCCAGUUAAUUUAUACCAAAAGUUUAUAAUAUAUGGAAUUUCUAGACCAUAAAUUAAUCUUUGCAUUUCAGAGAUAUCAAGAUAAGGAGUAAGAAUUGACAUGGUAAUUUAAGUUGAUCUGAAAGGCCUGUUAAGUUCAUUUUUGGAACACUCAAAAAUCCAACCUCAGAAUGUUUAAACUCAUACUAAAACUCCGUAAUGUUAUAGUCUCUCUUUUCCUCUGCUUAAAAGGACAACAAAUUAUGCAUAGAUUAUUGUAGAAAAAUAGUAACUGUUAUCAAUAGAAAAGGUCAGUGUCAAGAUCCAUAUUCAAGGAACAGAAGAGAUGAUCACUAUUGUGUCUAUAGACUACAGCAUCAAUCUUUCAUCUGCUCCCCCCCCUCUUCCAUCCAUCCCACAAUUAAGAAACAAAACUAAGAUGCAGUGUUGCUGAGAUAUAUAACAAGAAACAACAUUAUCAAAAGAUACUAGAAGAUGUUCCAUUGACAAGUUCAUGACUGGAGGUGAAAUAAAAAUUAUGUACAUAGAACAAGAUCAUAUUUCCUACAUGAAUUAAACGAGAACAUUCAGAUUAAAAUCAGCACAUCUAUACUUACUGAGUACUUGCUCAGCGGAAAAUCUUCUGAUGACAUCUUUACUAAGCAUUCUUCUAAGCAAAUCCUUGACUUCUGGAGACAGUGAAUUGAACACCCUCGUAGGAAACCUCACAUUUGCCCUGAGCACAGCCUCAAAAAUCUCUGGGGCUGAAUCACCAUAGAAUGGUGGAAAUCCAGCCAGCAUUAUGUACAAGAUCACACCAGCACUCCACACAUCGACCUUUUCAUCAUAAUGUCUACCAGCUACUACCUCAGGGGCCACAUAAUAAGGAGUCCCCACUACUCCAGAUAUUAGUUGUCCAUCAUCAAUGAAUUCUGCUGAGCCAAAAUCAGCUAGCUUAAGUUCAUUCCAGUCAUUAAAUAGUACAUUAUCAGGCUUGAUGUCGCGAUGGACUAUCCCUAAGUGGUGACAAUGUGCUAUUGUCUCCAUCAAUGGUCUCUGUAGAUGAUUAGAAAAUGGCCAUGAAAAUAUAAGUUUGCUGAUGAAAAUAGUAAAAUGAACAGCAUUAGCAUAGUUGACGUUGUUUGGGUAGCAUUGACAAAAUAAAGGAGAAAAAAAUUUGUUCCUAUGUGAACGGUCAUGCUCCGUGCAAAAUCAGAUCCAGAAACAAUGCUAUAUGACCUCAUUUAAAGCCAAAGAAGAAGAAGUAAUAAAGAAGACAUUGUUAAACAAUGGAAGCGUUAAUAUUCAACAUUGCACAUUAGGUCACAGGUAUUUUAUGCCAUUUUUAACAAAUGAUCGACUGAACAAAUUAUUAAUCCUCUAAUUCAUUGAGUAAGAGACAAUCAGAGAUUUUCGAGUCCAAUUGCUGAAAUUAUCAAGGAAACGAUAUUAUCAAUUGCUGAAAUUAUCAAGGAAACGAUAUUUUAUGCUUGUUUUUCAUGCAUUUAGUGUCAUACCCUCCAGACCAAAAUUCAGAGAUGAUAAAGUAAAGAAACUCAAAGUAAAAUUCUUGGUUUUUCAAAACUUGCCCUGGGAGGAAAGGGAAAAAGAAUGGCGCUUUGGGAGAUUUCCCGUACAAAAAACAGAGGAAAACAAGACAAAGUGCCUGCAGAAAGGUAUUUUUAGUUUCCAAAGAUCUGCAGAGGAAAGUGUAAUUCUUGGUUUUGACGAAACCUUUUCCACUCAGUAAAAUCAAAGUUAAAGUGCAAAUCCAAAAAAUACCAAUCAACCUAGUGGGAAAAAUAAAAUCAGCUCCAUGAAAAUAGCUUAUGCACAAAAACUAGAACGAAGAGAACUUUUUGCCCUCGUGACUUCAUCUAAAACUACAUGGACCAGAAUGGUUUAAAACAACCAAAUCCUAAUAACAACAAUUCUUCUAUCAACUUAGACAAUUUUAAACAAAAUACAUUUUCCAUCCAAAAAAUAACCCUCAAGAAUAAUGUGAUAACAGCAACAUACCAUAACAACGAUGGCUUCAGCUUCAGAAAAAACUGUCCUUGCAGCAAUCCUUUGGUAAAGAUCAGAACCAUUGCAAAGCUCAAGGACAAUGUGCAGGAAACACUCAUCCUCGUAAACAUGGAAAAUCCUUAAAACAUGUGGAUUAGGUGACAACAACUGCAUAACCUUAGCUUCGUUGUACAGGCAUUGUCUAUCCACAGAAUCAUCAGCUAUUAGUCUCUUAUCAAUGGAUUUUACAGCAAAGGGCUCCCCAGAAUUUGACGAAUAAGCCUUGAAAACCACCCCAAAUCUUCCCUUUCCUAGCUCCUCGCUCACUCUGUAGUCUCUGUUCAAUGCCUCGCUCAUUAGUGUUUUUCUCUUUUUAUUACUGUCUGCAGUCUUUUUCUUUUUUUCUUCACUUCUUUUAUCUGAACUUAGGCUUCGGUUUUGUCAAGGUUAGGGUACUUUGAGGUUGUUAUACAGUUGAAGAGUUGUCGAGGGAAAAGGGAAUUUUGUGGAGGGAAUAUUCCAUUUCUGGGUCCUGCCGCCAAUGGAAGAAGGCCACGUAGCAGUGUAGCACGGAUAAAGUAACGGUUUCAGUUUGAAUUGGAUUUUGAUGUAGCGUUUUGCUUUGGAAGGGAAACAAGAUUUGCUUAGGAUUAGGAUUAGGGUUCUAUUUUUUGGUAUCUUAAAUAUUGAAAAACGGAUUCAUUACUUUUUUGAAUUAAUCCAAUAUCCUUCUUAUCAGCUAAUUGUGUUUAAUUGUGGAUAAUCUUUCCUUUUUCUUUUUAAACUAAAUCAAGGACAAUGAAUGAUAGGAGAAUUGGAAAAUUAGUAACAGUAGAUAUUUAUAUAAGAUUUGUAUUCCCAAUGGGUGUUAAUGGAUAUUUCUUAACACACCUAAAUUCCGCUUCACAUAUUCCAUAUAUAUAUACACACACACAUGUACACACACUAACAUUAUUACUUUUCGUAGUAUUUAUAUAAUUUUCUUAAUUAAUCUACAUUUCUAAAAGUACAUUUUGACAACUUAACGAAUGCCCAAUAAGCAUAUGUUAAACGGACCCUGUAAUAUAAUUCUAGAAUCGUGAUUCAUUGUCUCGAUUUAUCUUGAUUUUUUUUUUUUUAAAUACCAUAGAUCAUACCAUAGAGGGGGCUUCAUCUAGAGAGGAGAAACUCAUCACCAGGAGAUGUAUGGUGUCUAAUGUGCGGUAGGGUAAAAUAUCACAUUCAAUAAUGUUCUGAGAUGUAAAUAGAUUCAUCAACUAAUUUGUUAUAGUCUAAAUGAACAUAUAGUCUUGGAAGGAAUUAAGGCAAGUAACACAUUCAAACUCUGGGACAGAACAGAGGGUAGAUGUAACAGAUAAAUGAGGAACAGAUUUUGUGGCGAUAGAAAUGGUAAAAUGGAAUUGAAGUAUCUGAAUAUUAAAUGUGCGGUUGAUUAAGGCCCUCCACAACAGCGACAACCACUCCCGUAUAAAGGCACAAGGCCUAGUUGGUCGACUGGUGUUUUAAGUCCUUUAUUCAUGCACUGGACUUACAACAAAUGUACUUUUCCUAGGGUAAUUGCUUUCCAGUUCAUAACACACUUCACAAUUAUUUUUCAUCAUGCUGAAAAUUGAGAGAAAAAAAAAUUUGAUUUACUAAUAAUCAUUAUGAUUCCGUUUCUCUAGUGUUCUAAAAAAUUCUAAAUAAGGGUACAUUUUCAAAAAAAAAAAAAAUGACAUUAUUGAAAAAAAAAACUCGAUAACAAAUAUGUGACUUAAAAUUUUCACUUGAAAUUGUUUGUUUUGAAUUUUGUCUUUGUCCCGUCUAUCCCAUACCUAUUUAAUUACCAUGUAUAUUGAUUAAUAACCAUUGGGAUUUUGUUGUGGAUAAAUUCAACAAUCAAUAGCCCUUAGGAUUCUAUUGAAGGUUAAGUCGAGACAGAUCAUUUGAAGCGAAAAUUUUGAAUCUUGAUGUAUUUCUCUUACUCUCUCUCUCCUUGAAUAGAUUUUAUAAAGAUUUGAUGGUUAAAACAUACAAUAGCACUUUACACCUUAAAUUUCAAACAAAUUUAAAAAAAUUUGAAAUCUUGCCAAAUCUCUAACUCCUAUGUGAGCUUCAACAUUACAAUAGGCAGAACAAAAACUGUGUAGGAAAUUUAAAAAAAAAAAAGAAUUAAUCUUCUAUAAACUCACCGUUUUUAUGAAAUGCAUGAAUCUAAGUUUACGCUUUUACAUUAUCACCAUUAAAUGCAUAAAUUCGAAUUUAACACGUGUUAUGCAUUCAACUAAACUAUGAUAGUGAUUAAUUCUUAAAAAAAAUAAUAAUAACAAGAACCUUCUAUGAUUUAGCCACUUCUGUUCCUUCUUUGUAAUUGAUAAGGUCCAGUUUUGGUGCACGAAGUUCCUGUUCUACUUUCAACCCUCGUCAAUAGUCACUAAAUUAGCAUUAUAUGAGGGGAAAAAAGAGUAACUCAUAAGUAAAUAUGUAGAUUCCUGGUUCUCCUUCUUACUUUAAAAACAAAUUGCAGUAAUUGCUGUUUGGAUGUACAUUUAAGAAAAGAUCAUGCUUGAAGAGUACAUUUAGUGCGAUUUUUCAUCAUCAUCUUUCUUUCUUUUUGGUACGAGUGCAUGAUCCACCUACCUGCCUUACAUAUUAUUGUUUCAUGUUUUCAAUGCCGUCCACUACUUUUUAUCAAGGAUGAUAGUAAACACCAGACCCUAACAAAUGAAAAGCUAAAAUGAUCUGUCCCACGAAUGAAUAGCAAAACUUUUGAAGCAUUACUUAACAGACAAGAAAAAAAUCCACAUCAGAAGCAGCUGCAGCUGAUGAAGACAACUUGAAUCUUUAAAAGAUUUUGUCAUAAAGUUUUAGCCCUUCCAGUGUUGAAGAGGUUUUGCUAUGGACAAUCUCACAUAAUUGUGAGUCUCAGAGUGAGGCUGAUAUGGGUUUUUCUAUAUAUAUAUAUAUAUUAGAUACAGGCUAUGUGUAGACCUGGUAUAUAUCAAGAUUUCUGUAGAGUCUCGUGCCUCAAUCCUCUCUUGCUGACUUUUCGACGAAGGGAAGGGGUUUUAUCUGAAGUUUUGGCUCUUUACAAAUCGACAUAUGCGUUGAGAGUACGGACGACAUUAGAUACAAUGCAAGAGACAGCCACAUAAAGAUGAAAAUGACGACUGAUUAAGCUAUGUUGUUCUUACAUAUGCUACAAAUCAGAUUGCCAACCAUGCAUAUUAUGGUCCGGAAAGAAAAGCUACUUCAUAAUGAAUUCAUAGUAUGUAUAUCUUGUGUAGCUGCUUGAUUCGACAGAAUAUCGGUACAGAAACACGAAAAUGAUAGCAUUCAUGAAGAUGGUUUAUACUUGUAAUGUGCAAGAAGUUGUUUCUGCUUCCAACAGAAUGAUUAGCCAAAUAAAUUGCAUCUUACAUUCUGCAUUUCGAUUACUUUCUGAAGUGAUACAAGGACGUUUGCUUUUGUUGGAGCCUUGUAUCAAAUUUGAAACAACACAGAUCAGAACUUGCCAUCACAAACACUUAUGAUUUCAUGAAAGAAUAGCAAGCAGAAUAACUUACUCUAUUCUAGAUAACUAUCAGAUUUCGUUAUUAUAUAACACUAUGAUAGAGUAUGGUGACUCAAUAUUGUAGUUUGAGAUUUCUUACUUCUAUUCUAGGCCAAACUUUAUGAAAGUUCUCAAUGAGACUCAGCCAUAAAACGAAUACCUUCUUGAAGAUUCAAGCGGAGUCAGUAGAGAAGAGGAGUUAAUUCCAUUUUGCACCAUUCAACUAUGCUUCAAUUUCCACUUUAGUCCCAAAACUAUGUAAAACAUCCCACUUAAGUACAAUCGUUAACAGAAUCCCCAAAAGUAAUGAAAUAUUAGCAACUUGAGCGGCAGGGUUGCAUGUUACAAGAGCAUAAAAGGAAAAUUAGAUUAACCAAUAACCUAAAAAAAUCCCGAAAUUAGAAAAUAACAAAGGAGUUUAGAGAACAAAGGGGAAAUCGGGAUAAAGUUUAGGGACUAAGGUUUCCUAGUUUAUAGUUUAGGAAACAAAGUAGGAGUCAGGGUAAAGUUUAGGAACUAAAAUAUCCUAGUUUAGAGUUCAGGGACCAUAGUAAGAGCUAGGAUAUAGUUGAAAAGUGAAAAAUAAAAUUAACCCAGAGAAAGAACAUAUAAACAAAUUUAGGAAACGUGUCAAUUCUAAAGAAAGGAAAUACAAGAAUCAAACUCUACCCCGCUCAUUUGUUUCUUCUGGCCGGCAAGCAGCCUCGUAGGUGAUGAUAAUACUAGUAGUACUCAGCAAUAUUCCAGUAGACAGCUAGAUAGUUCAUAAUAAUGCUUUUCUGCCGAUUGUUCUUGAGACUAUUCCACCUGAAAAAUGUCUAUUAAAGAGCACGUACGUAUACAAAUCAAAGCAAAUUCUUCUGGUUUUGUACUGUAUACGUUGUAACGUUACUAUGUUUUAAUAAUGCGUGAGAUAUCUGUGAUAGAGUUUCUAUUAUUUUAUGUUAUCUAACUGCUUUCUCUAGCAUAAACUGAAAUACCAUUUAUGCUAGAGAAAGAAAGACACUGGAAUGUAAUGAUGGUCUAAUAAACAUUGGCAGUUAAAUCUAAUUAUUCAGCACAGUAGUACCUCUUUUACUUGGUUUCACGGGUUCAGGGCAAUUACGUAGCCCAUGAUAUUGAUUAUUGAAGUAGUUGACAUCUGAUUCAGCCCCAACUCAGAGCGUAUUAGCUUAAAUCAACCUGUAAAUCUACAUACUUAUGAUUGCAUAUUCUAACAGUACCACUACUUUGGCUUUUGUUGACUUGAACAGUACAAACAUGAACAAAUACAUCAUUAAGAACAGUAAAUAGUUUAGUCAUACGUUUUCAGCACAUAAACAUCUGGAUUACUACUGUUCUAAACUGUAAGUAUGGCAAUACAUGUGCAAAUUAUAAGAGAAUAGCUGAAAAGUAGUGAAGACUAAAAUUCUUGCACGUCUGAUGAGCAAAACUUAAGAUAGACUACGUAGUUUUGAGAAAAAACGUGUCAUUCAUAAACUGUGUCAACUUCUACAAUGCCAUUUCUCUCCGUUUCAGUACUUGAAUAAGAGACAAGCAGUAGAUUUGAGAUAUGCAUAUACAUACAAGAAGACUCGUAUAAGUCAUACCACAUUAGUAAAUCUUCAGUGACUCAGCAAGCAUCAUCCACAUUUUAUUAAUGCUUUCCUACGAUCAUGAAAGUUUGGCAGGGUUUCAAAGCUCUAUGGCAUCA
RNAcentral lists this long non-coding RNA (32581 nucleotides) under Coffea arabica (coffee). RNAcentral describes it as "long non-coding RNA (CARA_LNC002109)". Lineage: Eukaryota; Viridiplantae; Streptophyta; Magnoliopsida; Gentianales; Rubiaceae. The record is from RNAcentral.